UGACAGCCCCGUACACAAAAGCGCAUGUGCUGUGAGCUCGAUGAGUAGGGCGGGACACGUGGUAUCCUGUCUGAAUAUGGGGGGACCAUCCUCCAAGGCUAAAUACUCCUGACUGACCGAUAGUGAACCAGUACCGUGAGGGAAAGGCGAAAAGAACCCCGGCGAGGGGAGUGAAAAAGAACCUGAAACCGUGUACGUACAAGCAGUGGGAGCACAGGUUUACCUGUGUGACUGCGUACCUUUUGUAUAAUGGGUCAGCGACUUAUAUUCUGUAGCAAGGUUAACCGUAUAGGGGAGCCGGAGGGAAACCGAGUCUUAAUUGGGCGUUAAGUUGCAGGGUAUAGACCCGAAACCCGGUGAUCUAGCCAUGGGCAGGUUGAAGGUUGGGUAACACUAACUGGAGGACCGAACCGACUAAUGUUGAAAAAUUAGCGGAUGACCUGUGGCUGGGGGUGAAAGGCCAAUCAAACCGGGAGAUAGCUGGUUCUCCCCGAAAGCUAUUUAGGUAGCGCCUCGUGAAUUCAUCUCCGGGGGUAGAGCACUGUUUCGGCUAGGGGGCCAUCCCGGCUUACCAACCCGAUGCAAACUGCGAAUACCGGAGAAUGUUAUCACGGGAGACACACGGCGGGUGCUAACGUCCGUCGUGAAGAGGGAAACAACCCAGACCGCCAGCUAAGGUCCCAAAGUCAUGGUUAAGUGGGAAACGAUGUGGGAAGGCCCAGACAGCCAGGAUGUUGGCUUAGAAGCAGCCAUCAUUUAAAGAAAGCGUAAUAGCUCACUGGUCGAGUCGGCCUGCGCGGAAGAUGUAACGGGGCUAAACCAUGCACCGAAGCUGCGGCAGCGACGCUUAUGCGUUGUUGGGUAGGGGAGCGUUCUGUAAGCCUGUGAAGGUGUGUCGUGAGGCAUGCUGGAGGUAUCAGAAGUGCGAAUGCUGACAUAAGUAACGAUAAAGCGGGUGAAAAGCCCGCUCGCCGGAAGACCAAGGGUUCCUGUCCAACGUUAAUCGGGGCAGGGUGAGUCGACCCCUAAGGCGAGGCCGAAAGGCGUAGUCGAUGGGAAACGGGUUAAUAUUCCCGUACUUGGUGUUACUGCGAAGGGGGGACGGAGAAGGCUAUGUUGGCCGGGCGACGGUUGUCCCGGUUUAAGCGUGUAGGUGUGUGUUCCAGGUAAAUCCGGUUCACUUUAACACUGAGGCGUGAUGACGAGGCACUACGGUGCUGAAGUAACAAAUGCCCUGCUUCCAGGAAAAGCCUCUAAGCAUCAGGUAACAUCAAAUCGUACCCCAAACCGACACAGGUGGUCAGGUAGAGAAUACCAAGGCGCUUGAGAGAACUCGGGUGAAGGAACUAGGCAAAAUGGUGCCGUAACUUCGGGAGAAGGCACGCUGACACGUAGGUGAAGUGAUUUACUCACGGAGCUGAAGUCAGUCGAAGAUACCAGCUGGCUGCAACUGUUUAUUAAAAACACAGCACUGUGCAAACACGAAAGUGGACGUAUACGGUGUGACGCCUGCCCGGUGCCGGAAGGUUAAUUGAUGGGGUCAGCGCAAGCGAAGCUCCUGAUCGAAGCCCCGGUAAACGGCGGCCGUAACUAUAACGGUCCUAAGGUAGCGAAAUUCCUUGUCGGGUAAGUUCCGACCUGCACGAAUGGCGUAAUGAUGGCCAGGCUGUCUCCACCCGAGACUCAGUGAAAUUGAACUCGCUGUGAAGAUGCAGUGUACCCGCGGCAAGACGGAAAGACCCCGUGAACCUUUACUAUAGCUUGACACUGAACAUUGAGCCUUGAUGUGUAGGAUAGGUGGGAGGCUUUGAAGUGUGGACGCCAGUCUGCAUGGAGCCGACCUUGAAAUACCACCCUUUAAUGUUUGAUGUUCUAACGUGGACCCGUUA
Molecule: ribosomal RNA, 1889 nt
Filed under: Salmonella enterica
Lineage: Bacteria; Pseudomonadati; Pseudomonadota; Gammaproteobacteria; Enterobacterales; Enterobacteriaceae
Description: partial 23S ribosomal RNA
Rfam family: Bacterial large subunit ribosomal RNA
Source: RNAcentral